AUUGAACGCUGGCUGCAGGCCUAACACAUGCAAGUCGAACGAGUGGCGGACGGGUGUGUAAUGUCUGGGAAUCUGCCUGGUGGAGGGGGAUAACCACUCGACACUGUAGCUAAUACCGCAUACCAUCGGAUGUGCCCAGAUCGGAUUAGCUAGUUGGUGGGGUAAAGGCUCACCUAGGCCACGAUCUCUAGCUGGUCUGAGAGGACGACCAGCCACACUGGAACUGAGACACGGUCCAGACUCCGACGGGAGGCAGCAGUGGGGAAUAUUGCACAAUGGGCGCAAGCCUGAUACAGCCAUGCCGCGUGUAUGAAGAAGGCCUUCGGGUUGGAAAGUACUUUCAGUGGAGAGGCGUUACCCGCAGAAGAAGCACCGGCUAACUCCGUGCCAGCCGCCGCGGUAAUUC
Molecule: ribosomal RNA, 406 nt
Filed under: uncultured bacterium
Lineage: Bacteria
Description: partial 16S ribosomal RNA
Rfam family: Bacterial small subunit ribosomal RNA
Source: RNAcentral